This 500-nucleotide ribosomal RNA is filed under the name uncultured bacterium. RNAcentral describes it as "partial 16S ribosomal RNA". It matches the Rfam family "Bacterial small subunit ribosomal RNA", at positions 29 to 523 of the family's 1533-position model. The record is from RNAcentral.
AUUGAACGCUGGCGGCAUGCCUUACACAUGCAAGUCGAACGGCAGCACGGGAGCAAUCCUGGUGGCGAGUGGCGAACGGGUGAGUAAAGUAUCGGAACGUGUCCAGUCGUGGGGGAUAACGUAGCGAAAGUUACGCUAAUACCGCAUACGAUCUACGGAUGAAAGCGGGGGAUCGCAAGACCUCGCGCGAUUGGAGCGGCUGAUAUCAGAUUAGGUAGUUGGUGGGGUAAAGGCUCACCAAGCCGACGAUCUGUAGCUGGUCUGAGAGGACGACCAGCCAAGCUGGGGCUGAGACGCGGCCCAGACGCCGACGGGCGGCAGUCGUGGGGAAUUUUGGACCAGGGGCGCAAGCCUGAUCCAGCCAUGCCGCGUGCCGGAUGAAGGCCUUCGGGUUGUAAACUGCUUUUGUACGGAACGAAAAGGUUUGGCCUAAUAAGCUGGACCCAUGACGGUACCGUAAGAAUAAGCACCGGCUAACUACGUGCCAGCAGCCGCAGUAA